GUGAGGAAUAUUGCGCAAUGGAGGCAACUCUGACGCAGCCAUGCCGCGUGCAGGAAGAAGGCGCUACGCGUUGUAAACUGCUUUUAACCGGGAAGAAACCCCAGGACGUGUCCUGGGUUGACGGUACCGGAGGAAUAAGCACCGGCUAACUUCGUGCCAGCAGCCGCGGUAAUACGAAGGGUGCAAGCGUUAUCCGGAUUCAUUGGGUUUAAAGGGUGCGUAGGCGGAUCGUUAAGUCAGUGGUGAAAUCCUGCAGCUUAACUGUAGACUUGCCAUUGAUACUGGCGCUCUUGAGUGCGCUUGAAGUGGGCGGAAUGUGCCGUGUAGCGGUGAAAUGCUUAGAUAUGGCACAGAACACCAAUUGCGAAGGCAGCUCACUAAGGCGAUACUGACGCUGAGGCACGAAAGCGUGGGGAUCGAACAGGAUUAGAUACCCCUGUAGUCC
This 445-nucleotide ribosomal RNA is filed under the name uncultured bacterium. RNAcentral describes it as "partial 16S ribosomal RNA". It matches the Rfam family "Bacterial small subunit ribosomal RNA", at positions 354 to 796 of the family's 1533-position model. The record is from RNAcentral.